RNAcentral lists this long non-coding RNA (433 nucleotides) under Vombatus ursinus (common wombat). Its description in RNAcentral is "lncRNA (ENSVURG00010008992.1)". The record is from RNAcentral. Lineage: Eukaryota; Metazoa; Chordata; Mammalia; Diprotodontia; Vombatidae.
UAGAAGAGGAAAAUUGAGCAAAACCAGUGUACCACUGAAGACUCCUUUUGUUUCUGCUGGGGUUUGGAGGCAUCUCCAGAGGUGACGGUCUACACCAGCCGCAGCACUGCUGAAUUUGGAGCCUGAAUCUAGUCCUGGCUUUGCUUACUACCUGAGUCAUCUCAGGCAAGUCCCUUCACUUUUCUGAGCCUCAAGUUUCCUCAUCUGUAAAAAGGAGGGGGCUGAGCUAGGUGACCGUUGAGGAUCUUUCCAAGCUUGAAAUUCAUGAUCCUGCCAUACUACUGAGUUGUUAUGGCAGCAUGAUGGAUUUCAACUGAUCCAUCCUCACACUUCCAUCAUGAAAGAGAACAAAUAAUUCUGGCCAUUCUAUCAUUAUGUUAUCCCUUCCUGAAAUGCAUAGGGCACCCCCUCUAGCCUCUCUCUUCCUCUUGUC